RNAcentral lists this ribosomal RNA (492 nucleotides) under uncultured bacterium. RNAcentral describes it as "partial 16S ribosomal RNA". It matches the Rfam family "Bacterial small subunit ribosomal RNA", at positions 29 to 507 of the family's 1533-position model. The record is from RNAcentral.
AGUGAACGCUGGCGGUAGGCCUAACACAUGCAAGUCGAACGGCAGCACAGUAAGAGCUUGCUCUUACGGGUGGCGAGUGGCGGACGGGUGAGGAAUACAUCGGAAUCUACUUUUUCGUGGGGGAUAACGUAGGGAAACUUACGCUAAUACCGCAUACGACCUACGGGUGAAAGCAGGGGAUCUUCGGACCUUGCGCGAUUGAAUGAGCCGAUGUCGGAUUAGCUAGUUGGCGGGGUAAAGGCCCACCAAGGCGACGAUCCGUAGCUGGUCUGAGAGGAUGAACAGCCCACAUUGAACCGGAGCACGGGUCAAACCCCUACCGGAGGCCGGCGUGGGGAAUAUUGGGCCAUGGGCCGAAGCCUUAUCCAGGCAAACCGGGUGGGUUGAAAAGGGCUUCCGGUUUUAAAGCCCUUUUGUUGGGAAAGAAAAGCAGCAGGUUAAUACCCCGCUGUUCUGACGGUACCCAAAGAAUAAGCACCGGCUAACUUCGUG